UUUCCCUUCAAACUUAACUCCGGACUAAGAAGAUGACAGGAAGCGAAAGUACCUGCCAGGACAAACAGAUGGUUCCCAGGCUCUCCCUGCUUGAUGACGUACUCUCCCUGCUGAACGUGCUCAUGUCUAGAUUGGAAAUCCCUGGAUUGAUUUGAGUUGAAAACCACCUUUGUGUGGCUCUUAGCCUGAUUGAUGAUGUGAGGAUCUAUUCAAAGCCCCAUCCCGAGAAGCACUUCCCACAAUUUAAACAGCUGGAUUUCCUGGAAAUGUCCUGCGGUGUUCACACUACCAAGAAUAAGGUGUCAUCCUUUCUCACCACGGGCGAGUAUCUAUGGACACAUGAAUAAACAACUGUUCAACUCUACUCCUUUCCCCCAACAUUUAUUUGUGGCAACGUGUGCGCCCGGGGCAUCAACGCUUCCCUGAGAACGAUUCAGUCAGAGGACUGUUGUUGGUCAGGCUUUGCACACCAUGAGUGCACAUGCUUGCAUGACAUUUCAGUUUAUCUUCAUGAUAUUCGGAUACUAUUGCUUUGUCAGUACAAAACAUGCUGUAUUGUAAACCCAACCCAUCUUUCUCAACGAAAUUAUUAAGUCAACAAGUUUUUUCGAUCGUCUUGAUAACAUCUCAUAAACUACAUUUCCCGCAAGGUCUAAGGACACAGAGGCAGGUACUGGAUACGCAGGGGAACUCCUGGAAAGAUUAUUUAAAAACAGACUUAAAAUAGACUCGUUUGGAAAAGAAAUUGAAAGUAAAGUGUGCAUUAUUGCGUAAUUCACCCACAGGGUGCCAAUGGUUUCUCUUUAUCUAGUUCAAAUCUAUUUGCCAGUAAAGAUAAUGUUUAAUUUUGGUCUUAACUGACUAGCAGCAAAUAGUAGCUCUCUCUCUCUCUCUCUUUUUUUUUGUUUUUGGUUAAAUGUACCAAGCAUGGUAUUAUCUCAGGUAAAAGUUCCUGGGAAUCUUCACUUAAUGUCCGUUUCCCUCGAAGCCAGAAUCAAUUUCAACUAUCAAAAAUGUCCACAGAGGUUUGGUGUUAACGCCAGCUGCAGCCAAGCUAGUGUGAAAUCAAAAGAUGUUUGCACGACCGUCAAAACACAGCGUGUGUGUCUAUGAGUGCUUGUUCUGCUGUCGACCCUAGGUAAGUUUCCAUGGGGGUGGGUGGGGGAUCUGGAAAGCUGUAAAUGUGUCCAAGUGUCAUGUGAGGUUGAAUUGAUUUCUAGAUUAAGUCAGGAUCAAUACUUGUCCUCGCACCAUCAAUGAGUCAUGUGGAGCCUGAUUAAAAAAGUGGAGGUGCGUGUUUUUCUUGUCUUGAGUGCUAAAGAGGGGGCGGGGGAGGGUGGGGGUGUUUAUCUUCUUCAUCACUAUCUGGUCCUGACAAGCUGCUGCUGCAACAACUAAAACAUCCAAAAAUACACACACUUAGUUUGUGUGUGCCACUUUCCCGAGCAAAAGGAAUGACUCAAACAAUCAGCACGUGCACUGAAAGAACCCAGCCUGAUGAGGACUACUAUAAUUAAUUGUUCAGACCAAAGAAAAUUUAACUGGGAACAUGAGACGGGGACAUGGAAGGACAGGAACACGUGUUAUGAAGCCCAGUAAACUUGAUUCUAGCAGACAAAGACGAAUCAUCAUGGGAUCUUCUUUUUUAAUAAUCAUCAUGGGGGAACCAUCUUUCAGUGGAUCC
Molecule: long non-coding RNA, 1684 nt
Organism: Oreochromis niloticus (Nile tilapia)
Lineage: Eukaryota; Metazoa; Chordata; Actinopteri; Cichliformes; Cichlidae
Exons: 3
Source: RefSeq, a predicted model, not a curated record